This 490-nucleotide ribosomal RNA is filed under the name uncultured bacterium. RNAcentral's name for it is "partial 16S ribosomal RNA". It matches the Rfam family "Bacterial small subunit ribosomal RNA", at positions 30 to 507 of the family's 1533-position model. The record is from RNAcentral.
AUUGAACGCUGGCGGCAGGCCUAACACAUGCAAGUCGAACGGUAACAGGAAACAGCUUGCUGUUUCGCUGACGAGUGGCGGACGGGUGAGUAAUGUCUGGGAAACUGCCUGAUGGAGGGGGAUAACUACUGGAAACGGUAGCUAAUACCGCAUAACGUCGCAAGACCAAAGAGGGGGACCUUCGGGCCUCUUGCCAUCGGCUGUGCCCAGAUGGGAUUAGCUAGUAGGUGGGGUAACGGCUCACCUAGGCGACGAUCCCUAGCUGGUCUGAGAGGAUGACCAGCCACACUGGAACUGAGACACGGUCCAGACUCCUACGGGAGGCAGCAGUGGGGAAUAUUGCACAAUGGGCGCAAGCCUGAUGCAGCCAUGCCGCGUGUAUGAAGAAGGCCUUCGGGUUGUAAAGUACUUUCAGCGGGGAGGAAGGGAGUAAAGUUAAUACCUUUACUCAUUGACGUUACCCGCAGAAGAAGCACCGGCUAACUCCGUG